ACAGGGAUUGCCCUAGUAACGGCGAGUGAAGCGGCAACAGCUCAAAUUUGAAAUCUGGCUCUUUCAGGGUCCGAGUUGUAAUUUGCAGAGGGCGCUUUGGCUUUGGCAGCGGUCCAAGUUCCUUGGAACAGGACGUCACAGAGGGUGAGAAUCCCGUACGUGGUCGCUAGCUAUUGCCGUGUAAAGCCCCUUCGACGAGUCGAGUUGUUUGGGAAUGCAGCUCUAAAUGGGAGGUAAAUUUCUUCUAAAGCUAAAUACUGGCCAGAGACCGAUAGCGCACAAGUAGAGUGAUCGAAAGAUGAAAAGCACUUUGGAAAGAGAGUCAAACAGCACGUGAAAUUGUUGAAAGGGAAGCGCUUGCAGCCAGACUUGCUUGCAGUUGCUCAUCCGGACUUUUGUCCGGUGCACUCUUCUGCAGGCAGGCCAGCAUCAGUUUGGGCGGUGGGAUAAAGGUCUCUGUCACGUACCUCUCUUCGGGGAGGCCUUAUAGGGGAGACGACAUACCACCAGCCUGGACUGAGGUCCGCGCAUUUGCUAGGAUGCUGGCGUAAUGGCUGUAAGCGGCCCGUCUUGAAACACGGACCAAGGAGUCUAACAUCUAUGCGAGUGUUUGGGUGUCAAGCCCGAACGCGUAAUGAAAGUGAACGGAGGUGGGAACCCGCAAGGGUGCACCAUCGACCGAUCCUGAUGUCUUCGGAAGGAUUUGAGUAAGAGCAUGGCUGUUGGGACCCGAAAGAUGGUGAACUAUGCUUGAAUAGGGUGAAGCCAGAGGAAACUCUGGUGGAGGCUCGCAGCGGUUCUGACGUGCAAAUCGAUCGUCAAAUUUGGGCAUAGGGGCGAAAGACUAAU
This 849-nucleotide ribosomal RNA is filed under the name Pyrenophora nisikadoi. Its description in RNAcentral is "partial large subunit ribosomal RNA". It matches the Rfam family "Eukaryotic large subunit ribosomal RNA", at positions 68 to 935 of the family's 3401-position model. Lineage: Eukaryota; Fungi; Ascomycota; Dothideomycetes; Pleosporales; Pleosporaceae. The record is from RNAcentral.